AUUGUGGUAUAUUAAUAAUUAAUAAGUCAUUUUCUUCUUUCCAAAUGCAGGUAGCCAAGCUCUCUUCAAACAUACAUAGUUUCUACUCUACCUAGAAAAAGCCUUCAUAUUCUACAUAGAAGCAUCUAUCCUUUUCAAUUAUCAUCCUCUUUUCAUCCUUAACAGUCCCACUCAAAUGAUGCCUUCACUCCCUUCAUAUCUGUAUACUUUCUAAAUUCUAACUUAUAUCCUCAAAAGUCCACUGAUGAUCUCUUCUCUAAAUUCACCAAUAAGCUCCUUUCAGUCAGAUCUGAAAGGAUAUAUCCAUCCUAUUAGCACUUGGCUACAUCUGACACCACCCCAUCGGAUCGUUCUGGUUCUCUUAAGCUUCUACCUAGCUCCACAAGACUCUCCCUUCUCUGAUCCACAGAGUCCUCCAGGGUUUGAUCCUCAACCUUUUCCUUUCCUCUGCUUACCCAUUUCCCAUUUCCCUGAGGAAUACAUCCACCAUCUGGGUGUGCUGAUAUAUUGGCACAGUCUUUUGGUUUGCAUUUCUUCAUUUCUCUGCUCCCUCUAUAUUUAUGAAUACCAAAGUAUCUACCACCUCUCCCACAACACUUCAAGGACUGGCAGCACAUUCCUGUGUGUUUUCUCAUGACCUGAUAUUACAUAAUACUCUCUGAUUCUGGCUUCUUCUCUUUAGACAAUCAAGACUUGCACAACUAUGAAAUAACACAGUGGGCAGCUGAGUUUUGCAGUCCCAUCUCUAAAAAAGAGAACCACUAGAGAGUCCGCGGCCAAAGAUCUUGCAGGAGCCAAGUGGCCAUGGCCUACCACAGCUUCCUGGUGGAGCCCAUCAGCUGCCAUGCCUGGAACAAGGACCGCACCCAAAUUGCCAUCUGCCCAAACAACCAUGAGGUGCACAUCUAUGAGAAGAGUGGGACCAAGUGGACCAAGGUGCAUGAGCUCAAGGAGCACAAUGGGCAGGUGACAGGCAUCGACUGGGCUCCUGAGAGUAACCUCAUUGUAAGCUGCGGCACAGAUCGCAACACCUACGUGUGGACACUGAAGGGCCGCACAUGGAAGCCUACCCUGGUCAUCCUGUGGAUUAACCGGGCUGCUCACUGUGUGCGCUGGGCCCCCAACGAGAACAAAUUUCCUGUGGGCAGUGGCUCCCGUGUUAUCUCCAUCUGUUAUUUUGAGCAGGAGAAUGACUGGUGGGUGUGCAAGCACAUCAAAAAGCCCUCCGCUCCACUGUUCUCAGCGUGGACUGGGACCCCAACAACAUGCUCCUGGCUGCAGGCUCCUGUGACUUCAAGUGCUGGAUCUUCUCAGCUUACAUCAAGGAGGUGGAGGAGAGGCCGGCACCCACACCAUGGGGCUCCAAGAUGUCCUUUGGUGAGCUGAUGUUUGAAUCCAGCAGUAGCUGUGGCUGGGUGCAUGGCGUUUGCUUCUCAGUCAGCGGGAGCCGUGUGGCCUGCGUCAGUCAUGACAGCACUGUGUGCCUGGCUGAUGCUGACAAGAAGAUGGCCGUUGCAACCCUGGCCUCUGAAACUCUGCCGCUGCUGGCACUGACCUUCAUCACAGAAAACAGCCUGGUGGCAGCGGGCCACGACUGCUUCCCAGUGCUCUUUACCUAUGAUGGCACAGCAGGGACGCUGAGCUUCAGCGGGAGGCUGGACGUGCCCAAGCAGAGCUGCAGCGGGGCUUGACAGCCCAUGAAUGCUUCCAGAACCUAGACAAGAAAGCGAGCUCGGAGGGUGGCCCGUCCUCAGGGGCUGGCCUUGACUCACUGCACAAGAACAGCGUCAGCCAGAUCUCGGUGCUCAGUGGGGGCAAGGCCAAGUGCUCACAAUUUUCCACCACUGGCAUGGAUGGUGGUAUGAGCAUCUGGGACGUGAAGAGCUUGGAGUCAGCAUUGAAAGACCUCAAGAUCAAAUGACUCGUGAGGAGUAUGUUGCCUUCAUCCCAGCUGCUGGGGAAGUGGGGAGAGGGGAUCAGGGAGAUUAGGGUCACUUUGCUGAAUGUUUCUAGGGUACUAGUAUGGGUCACUAUAGGGGCUGCUUCUCAAAAGGGAAGGAGACAGGCCUCAAGCAGGGGCUUUGCAGAUAUCUUACCUAGUCAAGGAUCAUGUGCCUUUUUCUUAAAUGCUUUCAUUUGUUGUAAAAAAUAUCCUCAGAGCACUAUGCUGGUCAUGAAUUGCUUCAAAACAUGGAGGUAAUAAAAAUGCAGUGGUGGA
RNA transcript from Otolemur garnettii (small-eared galago), 2218 nucleotides. It is a transcript of the gene named actin-related protein 2/3 complex subunit 1B pseudogene, with no coding region annotated. Lineage: Eukaryota; Metazoa; Chordata; Mammalia; Primates; Galagidae. The record is from RefSeq and is a predicted model, not a curated record. The transcript has a single exon.